This 2163-nucleotide long non-coding RNA is filed under the name Mytilus galloprovincialis (Mediterranean mussel). Lineage: Eukaryota; Metazoa; Mollusca; Bivalvia; Mytilida; Mytilidae. The record is from RNAcentral.
CUAGUAAAAAAUGAUCACCAAUGACACUUGGUUUCGAUUGAGUAAUUUCUAUCGUAUGUUUAUCUUCUACUUUGUUUACAUUUGCACUGAAUGAAUUUUCAGCUUGACCAAUAUAACAUUCUUUCAUAUUAUUAUACAAAUUAGUACAUUCAAAAUUUUUAAAUAUACUUAUCUUAUCUUUCUUUUCAGGACAAUCAUUCGCCCAAUGGCCCUUGUUGCCACAAUUAAAACAUCUCCCUGUUCUCCAAGUAGGGUUGGAUCUCUCUCUUUGGUGGAAUAGGACACUUUCCUGACCUCUUCGUUGACUUUUUUAGCUUGUCGGACUAGCUUCUACGUUCAGCUCUGUUUUGCGCUCUUAUCAUCUUCUUUUCAUCUUCGGAGUCGUCGGCAAUUGGAUUAGUUGUGUACUCCUUCACGACUCUCCAACCCAAUUCGGAUGAAUCAGCGAGUUUAAUGAGUUUUCUGUCUGUCUCUAACAAUUGCCAUACCUUCAACAAUCUUGUCCCUAGCUUGAUGAAUGGAGUCUACGGAUAAAUCUUGUCCGUCUAACUGUGCUUUUGCUUCCGUUAACUUCGUCAAGACUUCAACCUCAUGCUUGUACUAGUUUUCGUUCCCCUUUCGUUGGAAAGUAUAGUUCUCCGACAAAGUCUCCUCAAUCUUGGACAUCUGGGAUUGACUGAUAUCUCGCUGAGACUGCUGGAUAUUUCCCUGGAAUGUGGAUAGUCUGUUAUCUAUCAAAGCUGUGAUUUGGAAGGGUAUCUUGUUGUGAAGCAGAUACUGCAUUUUGUACUUCUUGGACAAAUACUUGCUUUACGGAAUUAUCUAAACCGGGGUCCGUCAUAUUUCACUGUUGUCCAGUCUGAUGCUUGGCUAGAGUGACCAACUGGAAAAAUUCCGCUAAAUAUCAGUAUCACGUGACAAUGUAUUAUACGUGUACAUAAGAAGUACCGUAUCAUAGUAUUCACUAGUACCGUUAUUACAAUAAUUUCCCACUAUACUAUCGAACCGUUGGAAAUUAUAACUAUAUAGAAUAUUUGUCAAUUUACUAUCGGAACUGUUUACAAUGUUAGACCAAAAAACUACCAUACGGUAUUCGGGUCCGUAGAAAUACCGUAAAGGACCUCCUUAGUGCACUAUAAGAAAAAAAAGUGAAAUAAGGACCUGAUCGAAUGAUACAACUGCUACAAAGGACAUGGCAUAUAAAAAUAGACUUGGUAAAAAUACAUAAUUUCAAAUUGUUUAAUUAUAUAUGUUUUAAUAAGAAAGUUAUUUAAUGUUUUCUCGGCACUCGCCUCAAUCAGUUGAUUGUCACCGUUAGUGUAAUCGGUAGAAGUUCAAAUGUUCUCUCAACCAUGACCUGUUUAUAAUCCGAUUGUAUACUGAUUAAACGUGCCGGAUUAAACAUGUAUAUGGUAUUUCAAAUUGUCUGCAUGUUUGUAAUAUUUUUUAUUUCUAACGUAAUAGUUUAUUUCCGACUCUUAUUUUCGGAUUUUUUUUAUCUUUUUAAUUUUAAAAUAACAAAUAAUUGUGAACUCAUCACGGAAAGGUGAGGAUCGAUAUUUGAUUGCUUAAUAUCCAGUGGCCAAUAUUUAAUUCAUUUUUCUGAUGUCAGGAACCAUGCCUCACAGCAAGGUUUUUCAAUUGAUCAUUUGUUGAAAGAACACAGGCAAAUACAAUAAGAUUGUAUUGACUAUAUUUGAUGCCAUGGUCUCUAUAUGAUGAUUUAUUAUGUUUUAUGCAUGGGACACUAAACUCAUAUUCAACAAAAACAAAUUUAUUCAGAUUUUUAUGAAGCCACCGUACUAACAUCUGCUUUCGCUUAUUUUUGUUGUAAUAAUUUUUUUCUUAAUUUUCCUUGUCUUUUAAAAUUUUAAAAUAUAAUUCCAUCACUAAAUUUUAUUUCAUGCCAAAAAUAAGAAUACGAAGGUAUUUCUGAAAUGCUAUAUAUAACUUAGCGAAGUGCCUGUCCGGAGCCUGUAAUUCAGUGGUUGUAGUUUGUGUAUGUGUUACAUAUUUUUUUUUUUUUUUUUUUUUUUUUAUAUAAAUAAGACCGUUAGUUUUCCCGUUUGAGUUGUUUUACAUUGUCAUAUCAGGGACUUUUAUAGCUGACUAUGCGGUUUGGGCUUUGCUCAUUGUUGAAGGCCGUACGGUUUUCUAUCCGAG